This 70-nucleotide transfer RNA is filed under the name Dactyloptena orientalis (oriental flying gurnard). RNAcentral describes it as "tRNA-His". It matches the Rfam family "tRNA". From Rfam's summary of the family: Transfer RNA (tRNA) molecules are approximately 80 nucleotides in length. RNAcentral also lists the same sequence under 1 other name. The record is from RNAcentral. Lineage: Eukaryota; Metazoa; Chordata; Actinopteri; Syngnathiformes; Dactylopteridae.
GUAGACAUAGUUUAAGCUAAGACAUUAGAUUGUGAUUCUAAAGACAGGGGUUAAAAUCCCCUUGUCCACC